RNAcentral lists this ribosomal RNA (1235 nucleotides) under metagenome. Its description in RNAcentral is "bacterial LSU rRNA". It matches the Rfam family "Bacterial large subunit ribosomal RNA", at positions 1564 to 2808 of the family's 2925-position model. The record is from RNAcentral.
UGAAUACGAGACGCUAAGGCGUCGAAGUAGUGUAUGUCAUACUUCCAAGAAAAGCUUGCACUGUCAUAAGUAAAAAAUGCCUGUACCAUAACCGACACAGGUGGGUAGGUAGAGUAUACUAAGGGGCGCGAGAUAACUCUCUCUAAGGAACUCGGCAAAAUAACUCCGUAACUUCGGGAGAAGGAGUGCCUUAUUUAUAAGGUUGCAAUAACAAGAUCCAAGCAACUGUUUAUCAAAAACACAGGUCUCCGCUAAGUCGCAAGACGAUGUAUGGGGGCUGACGCCUGCCCAGUGCCAGAAGGUUAAAGAAGUUGGUUAGCACUUGCGAAGCUGAUAACUGAAGCCCUGGUGAACGGCGGCCGUAACGAUAACGGUCCUAAGGUAGCGAAAUUCCUUGUCGGGUAAGUUCCGACCCGCACGAAAGGCGUAAUGAUUUGGAUACUGUCUCGGAGAGGGGCUCGGUGAAAUAGACUUGUCUGUGAAGAUGCGGACUACCUGCACCGGGACAGAAAGACCCUAUGAAGCUUUACUGUAACUUGAAAUUGAAAUUGGACUUUAUUUGCGCAGUAUAGGUGGGAGGCGUUGAUUGUAAUCUUGCGGGAUUAUUGGAGCCAUCAGUGAGAUACCACUCUUGUAAUGUUAGAUUUCUAACUUUGUAUCAUUAUCUGGUCAAAGAACAGUUUCAGGCGGGCAGUUUGACUGGGGCGGUCGCCUCCUAAACGGUAACGGAGGCGUACAAAGGUUUCCUCUGAACGGUUAGAAAUCGUAUCUAGAGUGUAAAGGCAUAAGGAAGCUUGACUGUGAGACCUACAAGUCGAGCAGGGACGAAAGUCGGUCUUAGUGAUCUGACGGUACUGAGUGGAAAGGCCGUCACUCAACGGAUAAAAGUUACUCUAAUGAUAACAGGCUGAUCUCCCCCAAGAGUUCACAUCGACGGGGAGGUUUGGCACCUCGAUGUCGGCUCAUCGCAUCCUGGGGCGGUAGUACGUCCCAAGGGUUAGGCUGUUCGCCCAUGAAAGCGGUACGCGAGCUGGGUUCAGAACGUCGUGAGACAGUUCGGUCCAUAUCCGGUGUAGGCGUUAGAAUAUUGAGAGGAGCCUUCUUUAGUACGAGAGGACCGAGAGGGACAUACCUCUGGUGUACCAGUUAUCGUGCCAACGGUAAACGCUGGGUAGCUAUGUAUGGAGUGGAUAACCGCUGAAAGCAUCUAAGUGGGAAGCCCACCUCAAGAUAAG